UUGGGGUUAGAAUUUAAUAUUAUGUACUUUUUAGAUUUUGAUAUAUGGGUUUAGAGUUUUAUAUAUAGGUUAGGGUUUACUGAUUUGGGUUUAGGGUUUAGUAUUUAGAAAGUGAGGGAGUAUGGUUGGACUCAGUAUUAACUUCUUUCAUGCAAUCAUAAACAUUUCAUAAUUUUAUCACUAUGUACUAUGUUAUUUCUAUUGUUCCAUUCUAUUUGGGUUUAGAGUUUUAUGUUUGGGUUUAGGGUUUACUGAUUUGGGUUCGGGUUUUGUAUUUAGGAGUUGGGAUGAGAUUGAGAGACGCUUAGUAUCUAAAGAUUGGGGUUGAGUUAGGUUUAGUAUUUAGAGGUUGUAGGACUACAUUAAUAAUAUGGUAUAGAACACUCGGUGCAUAUGCAUGUGAUCAAUAAAUGUCUACAUGGAUGGCUCCUCUUUCUUUU
Molecule: long non-coding RNA, 440 nt
Filed under: Brassica napus (rape)
Lineage: Eukaryota; Viridiplantae; Streptophyta; Magnoliopsida; Brassicales; Brassicaceae
Description: long non-coding RNA (BNAP_LNC012274)
Source: RNAcentral